AGUCAUCAGGAUAUGACAUCUGGUACUGUCUUAACUGUUUCCAAUGAUAAGUAUAAGAAACAAAUCGUAGUUAUUGUUAGGUACAGGGUACUCACUGCCGUGGACCACACUGUCUUAAGACUAUGCCCCAUUUCAUUGUUCUCAUGAAGUGACCCUGGAUUCUAAUUUAAACUACACAAGCUGUAUGACUUUAAUAUAUACAGGCAUGUCACGAUGUUGAAUAUCGCAGUACAUAUAAGCCUAGGAUUGCAACCUGUAUUCAUAUUUAUCACAAACCCGAUUGAGUGACGUUACCAGCCUCUGUGCACACGGAUGUAAUGCAUGUACACCCUGAUCCCGUACGCCUUUACCUGGUACACAUAAAUUAUCUGGUAUCACAUUGCAGUAUUAAAACGAUCGUAUUGAAUUCCCUUACGUCGAGAGUUUAACUGCAUAAACAGCGGUUGUGUCACCCGACAAAGCAGACCAAAUGGACGGUGGUUGAGAUACUUCGUGUGCAGUGUGGGGAUCUACACAUCCUUCUGUGAAGCAAGUAUUUCAGAUACAAUGCAUUCAAGCACAGCGUGUUACGGUGCGGGGGAUAUACAACGUCACCAAUGCCACGUGUGAAAGCAAUCAGAGGAUCGCAAUACUAGAGGCAUGUUACACAUCAGAUACACAGUGUGCUUCGUCAACGAACUCAAGCUCAGAAUGUGAUACUAGAUACAACCACACGGAGAUUCAAGCUCUUUUAAUGACCUGUUCCGCCUAGACAUGGUGCACAUUCGUCCCUCCUUGGCCAAAUGGGAAUUGUUUUGUGUCGAUGGUGAAACACACCUACAUUGAAGAUACCGACAUCAUCAGUAUGAACGGGAGUCAAGUUCAGAACAAAACUGAGGUGACACUUCAGUACGUUUCCCAAGAUUCGGUUGUAACGCGAAAUGCGUCCGUAUAUACAUGUGCGGUAAAUUUCACACGUUCCACUAUACAGAUUUCCUCCCUCGAUCUGCGACUGGGAACGCAGGGACAGUGUGCCGGAAACUUGAUAAUAGAAAAUAGAGAUCUAAACAUGACAUGUGUCUGCACAUUUGAAGAUGAGCGUUGUCCUAGAUAUAAUAAAACCACCUCUACUCAAGUCA
This is a long non-coding RNA of Haliotis rubra (blacklip abalone), 1118 nucleotides long. RefSeq lists it as uncharacterized. The record is from RefSeq and is a predicted model, not a curated record. NCBI's taxonomy places the organism in Eukaryota, Metazoa, Mollusca, Gastropoda, Lepetellida, Haliotidae. The transcript has 3 exons.